CACGCAGGUGGCUUGGCAAGUCGGAUGUGAAAGCCCGGGCUUAACCUGGGAACUGCAUUCGAUACUGCCAGGCCAGAGUAUGGGAGAGGAAAGUGGAAUUCCCGGUGUAGCGGUGAAAUGCGUAGAUAUCGGGAGGAACAUCAGUGGCGAAGGCGGCUUUCUGGCCCAAUACUGACACUCAUGUGCGAAAGCGUGGGGAGCAAACA
Molecule: ribosomal RNA, 206 nt
Filed under: uncultured bacterium
Lineage: Bacteria
Description: partial 16S ribosomal RNA
Rfam family: Bacterial small subunit ribosomal RNA
Source: RNAcentral